Molecule: long non-coding RNA, 1910 nt
Organism: Polypterus senegalus (gray bichir)
Lineage: Eukaryota; Metazoa; Chordata; Cladistia; Polypteriformes; Polypteridae
Exons: 4
Source: RefSeq, a predicted model, not a curated record
GUGAAGGUGAAGGUGAAGGUGAAGGUGAAGGUGAAGGCACUCUUUAUGACAGUUCAUCACCACCCAAGAAGACAAGGAUCAACAGAUGGAGCAGUGCCACAAGAACCUUCAGCACCAGUUCACACAAUUGCAGGGUCAAGUGAAUCUGGUAUAACAGUCCCAGUCCUCAACUCCAGAUUCUACUCCAGAGAAGUCGAGCCUCGCCAGUAAGAACAUGGGAUUAUCUUUUCUCAAGGCCAUUUCAGGAGCCAGAGAAUAUCGAACAUUACAUGUCCACUUUUGAGAGGAUGGCUACAGCGUGUGACUGGCCAAGAUGAAACCAGGGUAACAUUUACAGGUGUUUGAAAUCAAAUUCCGGACCUGGGUUGAGGAGCAUCAUCCAAAGACUUCCAAGGAAGCAACCAAACCUCUGGCAAUGCUCCUGUCUGCUAUUUGUCCGAGGAACCUGAGGAAAGAGGAAGAAGUCACUAUGAGGCCCAGAAUGACAGCAAAGCCCACAGGUUGAAUCUGCAUUGCCACCUGCCUUGACCGAACCUGUUCACUCCUUUCAUUCAGAAGACUUUGUGUAUAUUAAAAUGCACCCAGGAAAAAAUAGCUUGGCACCACAUUGAAAGGGCCCUCUGCCAGUACUGCUCAUCACCCAGACUGCUGUAAAGUGUGAAGGAUAGCCAGCAUGGGUUCACAUAUCCCACUGUUGACUCGCACCUGCACAAGAUAAGGACUCCUAAGAUUCAUCCUCAUCCUAAGUCUCUUGAUCGUCUGCAGCUUCUAGGUCCCCAGGGGAAUUUUGCAGUCUCAUUUGGACUCAGAAGAAGAUAACAGCAGCCCAGACAUCACACUCAAAGUUCUGAAUUUCACUAAUAUCCUUCAUUUUACAAGUUUUUAUAAAGUAUUUUCCUGAGAUACAAUAAAAGAGACCUUUCACAUAUCCUCACCCCCAGACGAACAUUAACACUCACAUGGUGUAUAUGGUAUUAAUACUUAUUUGGCCUUCUCUCACAUUUGGGCCUCUUCAAUGCUUAACUCUUCCUGUUGUAUUUGAACUUGCUUUCACAUUCAGUAAAUACAGGCAUUCCAUCUUUCUCAGCACCAUUUACAUUAAAUGAUUAUAAUUUACCCACUUGGUAAGUUCAAUAUAAUACUUGAACUGUAAUCGAUAUUUGGCCAUUCUUUGUUAUCUUUGUCAUCUCAAGAACUAAUGGUAUUUUAAUCCACAUUUUGACUGUUCUGUCCAUACCCACCUGAAUCUGCUCCAUUUGAUGCCACAACAUAUACAGUAAGCAACAUCAUGUUACUCAGGAUGAAAUCACACAUUUCCAUAUUGGCUCUGAGCAUAAGAGGAAAAUGUGUCUGUUUAGAAACUUGUCAGUGGCUCACACUGGAUGGUUUUGGAAUAAAAAUAAAAAUGCCACUAAGUUUAUGGGAUGGUCACAGUGCAAUGAUUAUGCCCCUUACUGGUGUAUUACUGAAGAAGACUGUUGUACUUCCUUGUCACACUCAGGAACUUGUUCUGAACUGAAUAAAACAACUGUGCAGUGUUAUCCAGCCAAAAUUUAUCAUGGUUGGGGCAUUAAUCCAAAAUCUGUUCUCCAAAUGACUCUUACUAAAGCACUAAUGGCCUUCAAUGAAACUUAUUACGAGUGCUGUCAAAAUGCAUAUUGCUGGUUGCCCACCGGAUGAUGUGGCUCUUGUUAUAUUGCUCAUGUUGUUCCUCAUGUGACUAUUUGUCAAACAUUUCUCUGACGGCCUUCAUGGAACAGAAGAGAGCUUACAAAAGGAUAGACUGUUGCUACUUCUUUUUCCAUCACUUUGGCGUUUUAGCCCUCGACACUACAAUCACUAAUCUUUCUCAUGCACUAGAAGCAGUAGCCAGUUUAACUGCCCGUACGCUCCAACAUCUCACUGCUGAA